Molecule: ribosomal RNA, 484 nt
Filed under: uncultured bacterium
Lineage: Bacteria
Description: partial 16S ribosomal RNA
Rfam family: Bacterial small subunit ribosomal RNA
Source: RNAcentral
GACGAACGCUGGCGGCGUGCUUAACACAUGCAAGUCGAACGGAAAGGCCCUGCUUUUGUGGGGUGCUCGAGUGGCGAACGGGUGAGUAACACGUGAGUAACCUGCCCUUGACUUUGGGAUAACUUCAGGAAACUGGGGCUAAUACCGGAUAGGAGCUCCUGCUGCAUGGUGGGGGUUGGAAAGUUUCGGCGGUUGGGGAUGGACUCGCGGCUUAUCAGCUUGUUGGUGGGGUAGUGGCUUACCAAGGCUUUGACGGGUAGCCGGCCUGAGAGGGUGACCGGCCACAUUGGGACUGAGAUACGGCACAGACUCCGACGGGAGGCAGCAGUGGGUAAUAUUGCACAAUGGGCGGAAGCCUGAUGCAGCAACGCCGCGUGCGGGAUGACGGCCUUCGGGUUGUAAACCGCUUUCGCCUGUGACGAAGCGUGAGUGACGGUAAUGGGUAAAGAAGCACCGGCUAACUACGUGCCAGCCGCCGCAGUAA